CAAAAUAUUUACUAUGAUUUGCUUCAUUGCACUUCUUAGGUGAGCAAGGUAUGAGGACAGCUGCUGUCAAAGAUGCACAGCUUGAGGAGAGCACAGCCUGGUGGUACAGCAGCUGAACUGAACUUCUUCCACAGCAUAAUUGUCCCAUCCAGGGCUGCCAUCCCUAUCCCUCACAUCUCUGCUGGAACAUCCCUCUGGCUCUCCCACACCAGGAGAAGUUCUGCUGCUGGAACACAAGGAUGAAGAGUUUCUUCAGACACUUCAUGUGCACUUUUCCUAGGAGAUUGUGAACUGGAGUGCUCUGGCAUGUUUGCCUUGCUCACCAGGCCAGAGAUGCAGUGGGACAAGUGACAAAGGGGACAAUUCAAAGAUCAGACCAUCAAAGAGCAAUGAUGCCUUCAGAAGAGAAGUUUGGCAAGUACAUAAAGGAUUAUAUUUAAUUAUACUUAAAUUUGAUAGUACUAGGAUUUUAUUCUCUAGGACAAAACUUUCAUUCACAGUUGCAGCAAUUUGCACUUUUCAGCAGAAAAGAGCUUGUUUGAUUCUGUUACUCAGCAUCAGCUCUGACGGACAAGUGUGGUGCCUGAGCAAAAAAAAAAAGCUGAGAAGAAAGUGGAAGAGGGAGAAAAUAAAAACAGGUGGCAAGGGGCCCAGGAACAAUAAAAGCCUGAAUGAGAACACCUUUAUCACUUUUGCAACAGCAGCUUAAAGGCCCAAGGAGAGAAAUAGAUUUUGUAAAUCAGACUAAAUAUUUUUUACAGGGUGCAGUGUGCAGCUUAAGAACCCAGCUGGGAAAAAUAGCUCCUGCAAAUCAGUGAAGAAACCAUAUUUUACUGGCUGCUGUUUAGGAGCAAGGAGAG
This 860-nucleotide long non-coding RNA is filed under the name Zonotrichia albicollis (white-throated sparrow). RNAcentral describes it as "lncRNA (ENSZALG00000009943.1)". The record is from RNAcentral. Lineage: Eukaryota; Metazoa; Chordata; Aves; Passeriformes; Passerellidae.